UGCUAGGCUAACCGGGGGGGUAGGCGUCCCCUUAUACACCGAAAUCGUCUUCAGCGGGGGUGACGGCCGAUUACGGCGUAUCAGACAUGCAGGCGGACCACAUCGCGACGAUGAGGCCCUGUCCCGUGGGGCCGGAGUUGGCGAAUGACCGCAGCCGGAGGGCGGCGGUUGUCGUCUUGGUUUCGGAUAUCGGGUCAGGCCCUGACGGGAGCAGCCUUACCGACUACUACCGACGCUCAUGGGGUGGCGGGGCCGAGAAGUGGUGUACAAUCUACCUGUAUGUGCUGGCGACAAGGUCGGUGCCUAGCA
Molecule: signal recognition particle RNA, 309 nt
Filed under: Methanobacteriota archaeon
Lineage: Archaea; Methanobacteriati; Methanobacteriota
Also listed under: 1 other name
Description: Euryarchaeota archaeon (groundwater metagenome) signal recognition particle sRNA
Rfam family: Archaeal signal recognition particle RNA
Source: RNAcentral